AUACGUAGGGGGCGAGCGUUGUCCGGAAUGACUGGGCGUAAAGGGCGUGUAGGCGGCGCUGUAAGUCUGGAGUGAAAGUCCUGUUUUCAAGAUGGGAAUUGCUUUGGAUACUGCAGAGCUUGAGUGCGGAAGAGGUAAGUGGAAUUCCCAGUGUAGCGGUGAAAUGCGUAGAGAUUGGGAGUAACACCAGUGGCGAAGACGACGUUCUGGGCCGUAAGUGACGCUGAGGUGCGAAAGCGUGGGGAGCGAACAGGAUUAGAUACCCUGGUAGUCCACGCGGGAAACGAUGAAUGCUAGGUGUUGCGGGUAUCGACCCCGGCAGCGCCGGAGUCAACACAAUAAGCGUUCCGCCUGGGGAGUACGGCCGCAAGGUUGAAACUGAAAGGAAGUGACGGGG
RNAcentral lists this ribosomal RNA (397 nucleotides) under uncultured bacterium. RNAcentral's name for it is "partial 16S ribosomal RNA". It matches the Rfam family "Bacterial small subunit ribosomal RNA", at positions 523 to 918 of the family's 1533-position model. The record is from RNAcentral.